AGAACAAUUGGCGGUAUUCAAACACAUAAAAAGGGAUGCUUUUCGUUCAACGUGCAUGAAAGCAGGGAAGGAGAAAUCAACUUUUCAGUGCAUGGCUUUGAUGGAAAGUGAAGAAACCUACAGAUAUUCAUUGGUGUUGUCAAAGGUCUUCUUCCUAUAUUUAUUCAUCAAAGAUCAAACGUUUGACGCCUGCAGUGUGUAUUUCAACAUGCAAGAUAAGACAACAAGUGGACUAUUGUUUGUGUCUGCUAGCUGAGAGGCCUUGUAGAUCUUGAUCUUCCAUGUCGACCAAGCCUUCGAUGACCUCAAGCCCAUGAGACCCUGGUGGAAUCGUAUUCGAUGAUAACAACGAUCGACUUCCACGACGACAACGACUGCAGAUCAUGCCAGUUCUUCGGCCAAGGAUGCUCUGCGGUGGAUAUCUAGCUGGUCAUGCAUGGAUGCCGUGAGAGAUUAUAUGAAAUUCUCACAAUUCUCAUCAUGAUGCGCGAUCAGGACUUCAUUGCAUAACAAAUAUUAAGUGUCGGCGGUAUAGAUCACGAUCGUCCAUGUCGACCAAGCCCCCGAGUAGUGAGUAGUGACUCCUUCAAACCCAUAUGAGACCCUGGUUGGAUCGAGUGAUAUUCGAUAAUGACAACGACUUCGUCAACGACCACGACUCAAGGUCAUGCCAGCAUUUCGGUCAAGUGGAUCGAGCAGGCCGUGGCGCUCCGUGCGAGAUUAUGGACUUGGGAUUAUGGAAUUCUCACUACCGUCGUGACGAGACGCGAUCAGGGCUUAAGAAAGAUGUAUAUGGUAAAAGUGACAUUUUGUGGUAACCGAUAAUGUCCAGGGCCCCGUCUUACAAAGAGUUGCGAUUGAUCCAAUCAACCACAACUAUGGAAAGCCAGCAAUGUCAACAUCUAAAAUGCAUGUUUAUUCACAUUAUUUUCAAGAUAUGAAGUAAAUUUAAACAUCCAUCGUUUUCUUGACAAUUCAGUAUGCUUCUCUUUGUUCACAAAGUAUAUUGUGAAAAUUUUCUGAAGAAAAAAAUAUGACAUUGAUGGAUUUCCAUAUAGUUGACGUUGAUUGGAUCAAUUGUUAAUUUUUUGUAAGACGGGGCCCUGGUCGGAUUUUAGGGGCUGGAAACGGAGACCCCCCCCCCUCCAGGUAAAAAGAGGUAGUUUUCCUCAAACUUAAUUGGCAAUUGUAUUGUCAUUUUCAAUAAAGUUUUCAUCAAAUUGCUGCAUGGUCUAGCUGGUUUCGACAAUUUCUACAGACAAAUCGUUUAAUAAUAUAUUUCAUUUUUUCAAUUUAUCAUAAUUUGCUUCUUAGGGUUAAUUGAAAAGAGAAUGGAGGGACCAGCGUGGAGGCCUGUGACAGCAUCCCUGAAAACCUGCGGGAAAGUGUAGCGACAGAGUGAAAUUAAACAUGUUAUUUUAAUAAGUAAAACUUCUUAUUUGAAUCUGAACAAAGUACGAACUUCAGAAAUGCUAGAUUCAUUAUAUAACUAUAUGUACAUUGAGUUAUGGUUUACAUUUCCCAGUGACAAAAAUUGUUUUGUCAAUUCAACACCUUUUUGUUUGUUAGGGUUAUAUAGAAAUAAAAUGGAGAAACCAGCACGGAGGCCUGUGACAGCAUCCCUGAAAACCUGCGGGAAAGUGUAGCGACAGAGUGAAAUGAAACAUAUUAUU
Long non-coding RNA from Lytechinus pictus (painted urchin), 1673 nucleotides. RefSeq lists it as uncharacterized. The record is from RefSeq and is a predicted model, not a curated record. The transcript has 3 exons. Lineage: Eukaryota; Metazoa; Echinodermata; Echinoidea; Temnopleuroida; Toxopneustidae.